RNAcentral lists this ribosomal RNA (464 nucleotides) under Vreelandella stevensii. RNAcentral describes it as "partial 16S ribosomal RNA". It matches the Rfam family "Bacterial small subunit ribosomal RNA", at positions 338 to 795 of the family's 1533-position model. The record is from RNAcentral. Lineage: Bacteria; Pseudomonadati; Pseudomonadota; Gammaproteobacteria; Oceanospirillales; Halomonadaceae.
CCUACGGGGGCAGCAGUGGGGAAUAUUGGACAAUGGGCGAAAGCCUGAUCCAGCCAUGCCGCGUGUGUGAAGAAGGCCUUCGGGUUGUAAAGCACUUUCAGUGGGGAAGAAAGCCUUGGGGCUAAUACCCUCGAGGAAGGACAUCACCCACAGAAGAAGCACCGGCUAACUCCGUGCCAGCAGCCGCGGUAAUACGGAGGGUGCGAGCGUUAAUCGGAAUUACUGGGCGUAAAGCGCGCGUAGGCGGUCUGAUAAGCCGGUUGUGAAAGCCCCGGGCUCAACCUGGGAACGGCAUCCGGAACUGUCAGGCUAGAGUGCAGGAGAGGAAGGUAGAAUUCCCGGUGUAGCAGUGAAAUGCGUAGAGAUCGGGAGGAAUACCAGUGGCGAAGGCGGCCUUCUGGACUGACACUGACGCUGAGGUGCGAAAGCGUGGGUAGCAAACAGGAUUAGAUACCCUGGUAGUC